This 31-nucleotide non-coding RNA is filed under the name Mus musculus (house mouse). Lineage: Eukaryota; Metazoa; Chordata; Mammalia; Rodentia; Muridae. The record is from RNAcentral.
UCAUUAUAUAGGCUGAUAACCUCAUAGGAUA